This 69-nucleotide transfer RNA is filed under the name Octopus salutii. RNAcentral's name for it is "tRNA-Met". The record is from RNAcentral. Lineage: Eukaryota; Metazoa; Mollusca; Cephalopoda; Octopoda; Octopodidae.
AAUAAAGUAAGCUAAGUAUAAGCUGUUGGGUUCAUACCUCAAAAAUGGAUUUAAAUUGUCCCUUUAUUA